This 255-nucleotide ribosomal RNA is filed under the name uncultured bacterium. RNAcentral describes it as "partial 16S ribosomal RNA". It matches the Rfam family "Bacterial small subunit ribosomal RNA", at positions 216 to 470 of the family's 1533-position model. The record is from RNAcentral.
CGCUAUCAGAUGAGCCUAGGUCGGAUUAGCUAGUUGGUGAGGUAAUGGCUCACCAAGGCUACGAUCCGUAACUGGUCUGAGAGGAUGAUCAGUCACACUGGAACUGAGACACGGUCCAGACUCCUACGGGAGGCAGCAGUGGGGAAUAUUGGACAAUGGGCGAAAGCCUGAUCCAAACGAGGCCGCGUGUGUGAAGAAGGUCUUCGGAUUGUAAAGCAAAGGAAGUUGGAGGAAGGGCAUUAACCUAAUACGUUA